GACGAACGCUGGCGGCGUGCUUAACACAUGCAAGUCGAACGGAAAGUCCCUGCUUUUGUGGGUUGCUCGAGUGGCGAACGGGUGAGUAACACGUGAGUAACCUGCCCUUGACCUUGGGAUAACUUCAGGAAACUGGGGCUAAUACCGGAUAGGAGCUCCUGCUGCAUUGUGGGGGGUGGAAAUUUUCGGCGGUUGGGGAUGGACUCGCGGCUUAUCAGCUUGUUGGUGGGGUAGUGGCUUACCAAGGCUUUGACGGGUAGCCGGCCUGAGAGGGUGACCGGCCACAUUGGGACUGAGAUACGGCCCAGACUCCUACGGGAGGUAGCAGUGGGGAAUACUGCACAAUGGGCGGAAGCCUGAUGCAGCAACGCCGCGUGCGGGAUGACGGCCUUCGGGUUGUAAACCGCUUUCGCCUGUGACGAAGCGUGAGUGACGGUAAUGGGUAAAGAAGCACCGGCUAACUACGUG
This 468-nucleotide ribosomal RNA is filed under the name uncultured bacterium. RNAcentral's name for it is "partial 16S ribosomal RNA". It matches the Rfam family "Bacterial small subunit ribosomal RNA", at positions 28 to 507 of the family's 1533-position model. The record is from RNAcentral.